This 439-nucleotide ribosomal RNA is filed under the name uncultured bacterium. Its description in RNAcentral is "partial 16S ribosomal RNA". It matches the Rfam family "Bacterial small subunit ribosomal RNA", at positions 338 to 795 of the family's 1533-position model. The record is from RNAcentral.
CCUACGGGAGGCAGCAGUGGGGGAUAUUGCACAAUGGGGGGAACCCUGAUGCAGCGACGCCGCGUGGGGGAAGAAGCUCCUCGGCUCGUAAAGCCCUGUCAGCAGGGAAGAACAUUACGGUACCUGAUGAAGAAGCCCCGGCUAACUACGUGGCAGCAGCCGCCGUAAUACAUAGGAUGCAAGCGUUAUCCGGAUUUACUGGGCGUAAAACGAGCGCAGGAGGGUUAACAAGUAUGGGAUGAAAGGCUUUUGCUUAACGAAAGUUUGUAUCCAAAACUGUUAAUCUAGAGUGUAGUAGAGAGUUCUGGAAUUCCAUGUGGAGCGGUGGAAUGCGUAGAUAUAUGGAAGAACACCAGUGGCGAAGGCGAGAACUUAGGAUAUCACUGACGCUUAGGCUCGAAAGUGUGGGGAGCAAAUAGGAUUAGAUACCCGUGUAGUC